AACCGAGAACUCCUACGGGAGGCAGCAGUGGGGAAUUUUGGGCAAUGGGCGCAAGCCUGAUCCAGCCACUCCGCGUGAGUGAAGAAGGCCUUCGGGUUGUAAAGCUCUUUCGCAAGGGAAGAAAACUUAGGCUCUAACAUAGCCUGAGGUUGACGGUACCUUGAUAAGAAGCACCGGCUAACUACGUGCCAGCAGCCGCGGUAAUACGUAGGGUGCGAGCGUUAAUCGGAAUUACUGGGCGUAAAGCGUGCGCAGGCGGUUUUGUAAGUCAGAUGUGAAAUCCCCGAGCUCAACUUGGGAACUGCGUUUGAAACUACAAGACUAGAAUAUGUCAGAGGGGGGUAGAAUUCCACGUGUAGCAGUGAAAUGCGUAGAGAUGUGGAGGAAUACCAAUGGCGAAGGCAGCCCCCUGGGAUAAUAUUGACACUCAUGCACGAAAGCGUGGGGAGCAAACAGGAUUAGAAACCCGUGUAGUCCGACUGAGA
Molecule: ribosomal RNA, 485 nt
Filed under: uncultured bacterium
Lineage: Bacteria
Description: bacterial SSU rRNA
Rfam family: Bacterial small subunit ribosomal RNA
Source: RNAcentral